GACGAACGCUGGCGGCGUGCCUAAUACAUGCAAGUCGAGCGGACCGAACAGGAGCUUGCUCUUGUUCGGUUAGCGGCGGACGGGUGAGUAACACGUGGGUAACCUGCCCGUAAGACCGGGAUAACUCCGGGAAACCGGAGCUAAUACCGGAUAACACCGAAGACCGCAUGGUCUUUGGUUGAAAGGCGGCUUCGGCUGCCACUUACGGAUGGGCCCGCGGCGCAUUAGCUAGUUGGUGAGGUAACGGCUCACCAAGGCGACGAUGCGUAGCCGGCCUGAGAGGGUGACCGGCCACACUGGGACUGAGACACGGCCCAGACUCCUACGGGAGGCAGCAGUAGGGAAUCUUCCGCAAUGGACGAAAGUCUGACGGAGCGACGCCGCGUGAGCGAAGAAGGUCUUCGGAUCGUAAAGCUCUGUUGUUAGGGAAGAAGAAGCGUCGCUCGAACAGGGCGGCGCGGUGACGGUACCUAACGAGAAAGCCCCGGCUAACUACGUG
RNAcentral lists this ribosomal RNA (499 nucleotides) under uncultured bacterium. Its description in RNAcentral is "partial 16S ribosomal RNA". It matches the Rfam family "Bacterial small subunit ribosomal RNA", at positions 28 to 507 of the family's 1533-position model. The record is from RNAcentral.